Long non-coding RNA from Bombina bombina (fire-bellied toad), 162 nucleotides. RefSeq lists it as uncharacterized. The transcript has 2 exons. Lineage: Eukaryota; Metazoa; Chordata; Amphibia; Anura; Bombinatoridae. The record is from RefSeq and is a predicted model, not a curated record.
GCAGAAAUGACUUGUGAAUACCAAAUGAGGGUAGCAAAUUGCUACUUAUAUUGCAAAGAUUUGCGGGAGCCAGUAAAAGGGCAGCAAUGCUACAGAACCAGGUCCUGAUUGGCUGUUGGGAGCAAAGCAGUAAAUACUUAAAUAAAUACGUUUUCUCCAUGU